Non-coding RNA from Pelobates cultripes (western spadefoot toad), 221 nucleotides. Lineage: Eukaryota; Metazoa; Chordata; Amphibia; Anura; Pelobatidae. The record is from the annotation of a GenBank genome assembly.
GGGUGGGGGCCAGGGGGGAGGACAUUAAUGUCCUCCCCCCUGGCCCCCACCCCUUAGUGGUGAGUGGGGGCCCUAAACUAGAAUAGGGGGGGCCUAAUGUCUUCCCCCUGGCCCCCACCCCUGAGCGGUGGGUGGGGGCCCUAAGUACAAAUUGGGGGGGACCUAAUGUCCUCCCCCUGGCCCCCACCCCUGAGCGGUGGGUGGGGUCACUAAAUACAAAU